ACGCUGGCGGCGUGCCUAAUACAUGCAAGUCGAACGCCUUGUGGUUUUAAUGAAUAGCGUGCUUGCACAAUAUGAUUUAAAACAAUGCAAGGAGUGGCGAACGGGUGAGUAACACGUGGGAAACCUACCUCUUAGCAGGGGAUAACAUUUGGAAACAGAUGCUAAUACCGUAUAACACUAAAAACCGCAUGGUUUUUAUUUGAAAGAUGGUUCUGCUAUCACUAAGAGAUGGUCCCGCGGUGCAUUAGUUAGAUGGUGAGGUAAUGGCUCACCAUGACGAUGAUGCAUAGCCGAGUUGAGAGACUGAUCGGCCACAAUGGGACUGAGACACGGCCCAUACUCCUACGGGAGGCAGCAGUAGGGAAUCUUCCACAAUGGGCGCAAGCCUGAUGGAGCAACGCCGCGUGUGUGAUGAAGGGUUUCGGCUCGUAAAGCACUGUUGUAAGAGAAGAAUGUACUUGAGAGUAACUGUUCAAGUAGUGACGGUAUCUUACCAGAAAGGGACGGCUAAAUACGUGCCAGCAGCCGCGGUAAUACGUAUGUCCCAAGCGUUAUCCGGAUUUAUUGGGCGUAAAGCGAGCGCAGACGGUUAUUUAAGUCUGAAGUGAAAGCCCUCAGCUCAACUGAGGAAUUGCUUUGGAAACUGGAUGACUUGAGUGCAGUAGAGGAAAGUGGAACUCCAUGUGUAGCGGUGAAAUGCGUAGAUAUAUGGAAGAACACCAGUGGCGAAGGCGGCUUUCUGGACUGUAACUGACGUUGAGGCUCGAAAGUGUAGGUAGCAAAC
Molecule: ribosomal RNA, 784 nt
Filed under: uncultured bacterium
Lineage: Bacteria
Description: bacterial SSU rRNA
Rfam family: Bacterial small subunit ribosomal RNA
Source: RNAcentral